RNAcentral lists this ribosomal RNA (253 nucleotides) under uncultured bacterium. Its description in RNAcentral is "partial 16S ribosomal RNA". It matches the Rfam family "Bacterial small subunit ribosomal RNA", at positions 524 to 776 of the family's 1533-position model. The record is from RNAcentral.
UACGAAGGGGGCGAGCGUUGUUCGGAUUUACUGGGCGUAAAGGGCGCGUAGGCGGCCACGCACGUCCGUUGUGAAAUCGCCCGGCUCAACUGGGCGGGGUCAGCGGAUACGGUGUGGCUCGAGCAAGCUAGGGGGCAACGGAAUUCCCGGUGUAGUGGUGGAAUGCGUAGAUAUCGGGAGGAACACCAGUGGCGAAGGCGGUUGCCUGGAGCUUUGCUGACGCUGAGGCGCGAAAGCGUGGGGAGCGAUCCGG